RNAcentral lists this ribosomal RNA (417 nucleotides) under Cyclops abyssorum. RNAcentral describes it as "partial 12S ribosomal RNA". Lineage: Eukaryota; Metazoa; Arthropoda; Copepoda; Cyclopoida; Cyclopidae. The record is from RNAcentral.
ACCGCGGCUAGCUCGGAAUAUGACCCGGUUUAAACUUAUUCGACUAUUUUAUAGCCUACUAUUAAAUCCUAAAUUACUUAACCACAUAUUACUGCAUUUCAACUUUCCUAGUUUAAGCUACAUGUCAUUUGGAGAAAAUUUAAAUAGGGAUUUAUUUUUUAACAACCACACACAAGCAUUAAACAAGUAAAUAAAAUUGAGGGGUGUCAAAUUAAGAGCCAAAAUUCUCUAAUCAGGAUAAACCGCUGCCAUGUAGUUUAGGUUUUAUUUUACUACCUAAAAAAGUUUUCAUACCUGGCUUCUACCCCAGUUUUGUUGGUGAAUUUAUUUGUUUUAACUUUUUUUCUUUACACCGCAGAACUGAAAAAGAAAAAAAAAUUUAAAAAAUUAAGUUUAUAAAAUUUUAUUUUAAAAGUC